GACAAUUGUCAGUAUAAGAGUUUGGCAUGAUUUCUGAAAUCAUGUAUCCUGAUGCC
This 56-nucleotide small RNA is filed under the name Salix viminalis (osier). The record is from RNAcentral. Lineage: Eukaryota; Viridiplantae; Streptophyta; Magnoliopsida; Malpighiales; Salicaceae.